AUUGAACGCUGGCGGAAUGCUUUACACAUGCAAGUCGAACGGCAGCACGGACUUCGGUCUGGUGGCGAGUGGCGAACGGGUGAGUAACAUAUCGGAACGUAUCCAAUAAUGGGGGAUAACGAGUCGAAAGAUUCGCUAAUACCGCAUACGCCCUACGAGGGAAAGCUGGGGACCUUCGGGCCUGGCGUUAAUGGAGCGGCCGAUAUCUGAUUAGCUAGUUGGUGAGGUAAAGGCUCACCAAGGCGACGAUCAGUAGCUGGUCUGAGAGGACGACCAGCCACACUGGAACCGAGACACGGUCCAGACUCCGACGGGAGGCAGCAGUGGGGAAUUUUGGACAAUGGGCGCAAGCCUGAUCCAGCCAUUCCGCGUGAGUGAAGAAGGCCUUCGGGUUGUAAAGCUCUUUCGCAAGGGAAGAAAACUUAGCCACUAACAUUGGUUGAGGUUGACGGUACCUUGAUAAGAAGCACCGGCUAACUACGUGCCAGCCGCCGCAGUAA
Molecule: ribosomal RNA, 500 nt
Filed under: uncultured bacterium
Lineage: Bacteria
Description: partial 16S ribosomal RNA
Rfam family: Bacterial small subunit ribosomal RNA
Source: RNAcentral